CAGUGGGGAAUAUUGGACAAUGGGGGCAACCCUGAUCCAGCAAUGCCGCGUGAGUGAUGAAGGCCUUCGGGUUGUAAAGCUCUUUUGGCGGGGACGAUGAUGACGGUACCCGCAGAAUAAGCCCCGGCUAACUUCGUGCCAGCAGCCGCGGUAAUACGAAGGGGGCAAGCGUUGUUCGGAAUUACUGGGCGUAAAGGGCGCGUAGGCGGCUUAUCAAGUCAGGCGUGAAAUUCCCGGGCUCAACCUGGGGGCUGCGCUUGAUACUGAUGAGCUUGAAUGCGGGAGAGGAUAGUGGAAUUCCCAGUGUAGAGGUGAAAUUCGUAGAUAUUUGGAAGAACACC
This 341-nucleotide ribosomal RNA is filed under the name uncultured Rhodospirillaceae bacterium. RNAcentral describes it as "bacterial SSU rRNA". It matches the Rfam family "Bacterial small subunit ribosomal RNA", at positions 352 to 710 of the family's 1533-position model. The record is from RNAcentral. Lineage: Bacteria; Pseudomonadati; Pseudomonadota; Alphaproteobacteria; Rhodospirillales; Rhodospirillaceae.